AAGAAAAUCAACUCUUUUAGACCAAGGAUCUUGGUCAGAAACCAAUUUGAGCUAAGUAAAAAAGAAAAAGUUUCAGUAAUGCAAUGGUCGAUGGUACUAGAACAAGUCAGCAUUCACAUGUUCAUUUUAUUUGCAUAUAUCCAGACAACUGCACAUGUACAUGUAAAAACCGAUGUUGGCGCACUGUGACUUGUGCCACUAAAUAAAAAUUUUGAUGACCACACAAUAACUACAUUCAAAUAACAAAAACAUGCAUGACAAUGAGGAAAAUGGUUUUUGUUUAGUUGACAUUAUAUUCUCAAUUGCCUAGGAAUUGUGGAUGAUAAUUUUUUUUUUUUUUGUUGGCAUUGUGUGGGAUGCAUCAAGCACUGUCAUUAAGCUCAUGGAGUGUUCAAAGGAAACAAUACUAGGGUAAAGGAGUUAGUUGGAAAUGUGAAUGGCAGUAUCAACAUUUAAAAAUAUAUUGAAUAUACAGCAGAGAGCAUGUGCCAAACUUUUUAGGGAGAUGCACAUGCACGGGAAAUUAAGCUUGAAUAUAAUGUUUUCUGUCAAUGAUGAUUGUCUAUCUUGAAGGCUUUCAUAUUCUUUCUUUUGUAUAGUUUUGUGGAAAUCCUAAGCUUACUUUUUCUUUGUUUUGUAUUUUGGGUGCCUUUUUU
This 656-nucleotide unclassified non-coding RNA is filed under the name Hevea brasiliensis (rubber tree). Lineage: Eukaryota; Viridiplantae; Streptophyta; Magnoliopsida; Malpighiales; Euphorbiaceae. The record is from RNAcentral.